Molecule: transfer-messenger RNA, 83 nt
Filed under: Bacteroidota bacterium
Lineage: Bacteria; Pseudomonadati; Bacteroidota
Description: Bacteroidetes bacterium (freshwater metagenome) partial transfer-messenger RNA
Rfam family: transfer-messenger RNA
About the family: Bacterial tmRNA, also known as 10Sa RNA or SsrA, is named for its dual tRNA and mRNA-like properties.
Source: RNAcentral
AGAAAAUCGUUAGUGAAGCUACGCCCGUAGAAGAGUUCGGUUCGAUGUCAUGGACGGGGGUUCGAUUCCCCCCAUCUCCACCA